This 255-nucleotide ribosomal RNA is filed under the name uncultured bacterium. RNAcentral describes it as "partial 16S ribosomal RNA". It matches the Rfam family "Bacterial small subunit ribosomal RNA", at positions 524 to 777 of the family's 1533-position model. The record is from RNAcentral.
UACAGGGGUGAGCAACGUUGCUCGGAAUCAUUGGGCGUAAAGCGCACGUAGGCGGUUCGUUAUGUCGGAUGUGAAAGCCCUUGGCUUAACCGAGGAAGUGCAUCCGAAACUGGCGAGCUAGAGUACGAAAGAGGAUCGCGGAAUUCCCGGUGUAGAGGUGAAAUUCGUAGAUAUCGGGAGGAACGACCGGUGGCGAAGGCGGCGAUCUGGGUCGAUACUGACGCUGAGGUGCGAAAGCGUGGGGAGCAAACAGGG